This 492-nucleotide ribosomal RNA is filed under the name uncultured bacterium. RNAcentral describes it as "partial 16S ribosomal RNA". It matches the Rfam family "Bacterial small subunit ribosomal RNA", at positions 29 to 507 of the family's 1533-position model. The record is from RNAcentral.
AGUGAACGCUGGCGGUAGGCCUAACACAUGCAAGUCGAACGGCAGCACAGUAAGAGCUUGCUCUUACGGGUGGCGAGUGGCGGACGGGUGAGGAAUACAUCGGAAUCUACUUUUUCGUGGGGGAUAACGUAGGGAAACUUACGCUAAUACCGCAUACGACCUACGGGUGAAAGCAGGGGAUCUUCGGACCUUGCGCGAUUGAAUGAGCCGAUGUCGGAUUAGCUAGUUGGCGGGGUAAAGGCCCACCAAGGCGACGAUCCGUAGCUGGUCUGAGAGGAUGAUCAGCCACACUGGAACUGAGACACGGUCCAGACUCCUACGGGAGGCAGCAGUGGGGAAUAUUGGACAAUGGGCGCAAGCCUGAUCCAGCCAUACUGCGUGGGUGAAGAAGGCCUUCGGGUUGUAAAGCCCUUUUGUUGGGAAAGAAAAGCAGCGGGUUAAUACCCCGCUGUUCUGACGGUACCCAAAGAAUAAGCACCGGCUAACUUCGUG